RNAcentral lists this ribosomal RNA (468 nucleotides) under uncultured bacterium. RNAcentral describes it as "partial 16S ribosomal RNA". It matches the Rfam family "Bacterial small subunit ribosomal RNA", at positions 28 to 507 of the family's 1533-position model. The record is from RNAcentral.
GACGAACGCUGGCGGCGUGCUUAACACAUGCAAGUCGAACGGAAAGGCCCUGCUUUUGUGGGGUGCUCGAGUGGCGAACGGGUGAGUAACACGUGAGUCACCUGCCCUUGACUUUGGGAUAACUUCAGGAAACUGGGGCUAAUACCGGAUAGGAGCUCCUGCUGCAUGGUGGGGGUUGGAAAGUUUCGGCGGGUGGGGAUGGACUCGCGGCUUAUCAGCUUGUUGGUGGGGUAGUGGCUUACCAAGGCUUUGACGGGUAGCCGGCCUGAGAGGGUGACCGGCCACAUUGGGACUAAGGUACGGCCCAGACUCCUACGGUGGGCAGCAGUGGGGAAUAUGGCACAAUGGGCGGAAGCCUGAUGCAGCAGCGCCGCGUGCGGGAUGACGGCCUUCGGGUUGUAAACCGCUUUCGCCUGUGACGAAGCGUGAGUGACGGUAAUGGGUAAAGAAGCACCGGCUAACUACGUG